GGGGAAUAUUGCACAAUGGGCGAAAGCCUGAUGCAGCAACGCCGCGUGAGUGAUGAAGGUCUUCGGAUUGUAAAGCUCUGUCUUUUGGGACGAUAAUGACGGUACCAAAGGAGGAAGCCACGGCUAACUACGUGCCAGCAGCCGCGGUAAUACGUAGGUGGCGAGCGUUGUCCGGAUUUACUGGGCGUAAAGGGUGCGUAGGCGGAUGUUUAAGUGAGAUGUGAAAUACCCGGGCUUAACUUGGGUGCUGCAUUUCAAACUGGAUAUCUAGAGUGCAGGAGAGGAGAAUGGAAUUCCUAGUGUAGCGGUGAAAUGCGUAGAGAUUAGGAAGAACACCAGUGGCGAAGGCGAUUCUCUGGACUGUAACUGACGCUGAGGCACGAAAGCGUGGGUAGCAAACAGGAUUAGAUACCCUGGUAGUCCACGCCGUAAACGAUGAGUA
This 442-nucleotide ribosomal RNA is filed under the name uncultured bacterium. Its description in RNAcentral is "partial 16S ribosomal RNA". It matches the Rfam family "Bacterial small subunit ribosomal RNA", at positions 356 to 815 of the family's 1533-position model. The record is from RNAcentral.